Molecule: transfer RNA, 87 nt
Filed under: Halothiobacillus neapolitanus c2
Lineage: Bacteria; Pseudomonadati; Pseudomonadota; Gammaproteobacteria; Chromatiales; Halothiobacillaceae
Description: tRNA-Leu (TAA) (tRNA-Leu-TAA-1-1)
Rfam family: tRNA
About the family: Transfer RNA (tRNA) molecules are approximately 80 nucleotides in length. Their secondary structure includes four short double-helical elements and three loops (D, anti-codon, and T loops).
Source: RNAcentral
GCCCGGGUGGUGAAACUGGUAGACACAAGAGACUUAAAAUCUCUCGAAGGAAACUUCGUGCCGGUUCGAUUCCGGCUCCGGGCACCA